This 455-nucleotide ribosomal RNA is filed under the name uncultured bacterium. Its description in RNAcentral is "bacterial SSU rRNA". It matches the Rfam family "Bacterial small subunit ribosomal RNA", at positions 340 to 786 of the family's 1533-position model. The record is from RNAcentral.
UACGGAAGGCAGCAGGGGGGAAUAUUGCACAAUGGGCGCAAGCCUGAUGCAGCCAUGCCGCGUGUAUGAAAAAGGCCUUCGGGUUGUAAAGUACUUUCAGUCGUGAGGAAGGUGUUAAGGUUAAUAACCUUAGCAAUUGACGUUAGCGACAGAAGAAGCACCGGCUAACUCCGUGCCAGCAGCCGCGGUAAUACGGAGGGUGCGAGCGUUAAUCGGAAUUACUGGGCGUAAAGGGCACGCAGGCGGUUAAUUAAGUUGGAUGUGAAAUCCCCGGGCUUAACCUGGGAAUGGCAUUCAAGACUGGUUAGCUAGAGUCUUGUAGAGGGGGUAGAAUUCCAUGUGUAGCGGUGAAAUGCGUAGAGAUGUGGAGGAAUACCGGUGGCGAAAGGCGGCCCCUGGACAAAGACUGACGCUCAUGUGCGAAAGCGUGGGGAGCAAAACAGGGAUUAGAUACC